This 243-nucleotide long non-coding RNA is filed under the name Lathyrus oleraceus (garden pea). RNAcentral describes it as "Pisum sativum (pea) long non-coding RNA (PSAT_LNC010231)". The record is from RNAcentral. Lineage: Eukaryota; Viridiplantae; Streptophyta; Magnoliopsida; Fabales; Fabaceae.
UUUACUUGAGUAUCUGUCAUUCUAACGAAAUACCUAACAACCACGUACGAAUUGGAAAUGUGUCAUGUAUUUGCGUUUAACUAGUGUUUCGAAUUUUAUACUAAUUAUUUGCUUGAGGACAAGAAAAGAUUCAAGUAUAAGAGAGUUUGAUAACACGAAACUGUAUCAUAUAUUUUCCUUGAUUUACAUUCAAAAAUCAUACUGUUUUCAUUUAUAUUCCGAUUAUUCCGCAAGUGUUCGAGU